AUUGAACGCUGGCGGCAUGCCUUACACAUGCAAGUCGAACGGCAGCACGGGUGCUUGCACCUGGUGGCGAGUGGCGAACGGGUGAGUAAUACAUCGGAACAUGUCCUGUAGUGGGGGAUAGCCCGGCGAAAGCCGGAUUAAUACCGCAUACGAUCCACGGAUGAAAGCGGGGGACCUUCGGGCCUCGCGCUAUAGGGUUGGCCGAUGGCUGAUUAGCUAGUUGGUGGGGUAAAGGCCUACCAAGGCGACGAUCAGUAGCUGGUCUGAGAGGACGACCAGCCACACUGGGACUGAGACACGGCCAAGACUCCUGAGGGAGGCAGCAGUGGGGAAUUUUGGACAAUGGGCGAAAGCCUGAUCCAGCAAUGCCGCGUGUGUGAAGAAGGCCUUCGGGUUGUAAAGCACGUUUGUCCGGAAAGAAAUCCUUGGCUCUAAUACAGUCGGGGGAUGACGGUACCGGAAGAAUAAGCACCGGCUAACUACGUG
Molecule: ribosomal RNA, 486 nt
Filed under: uncultured bacterium
Lineage: Bacteria
Description: partial 16S ribosomal RNA
Rfam family: Bacterial small subunit ribosomal RNA
Source: RNAcentral